RNAcentral lists this transfer RNA (66 nucleotides) under Pisione sp. YZ-2018. RNAcentral describes it as "tRNA-Leu". Lineage: Eukaryota; Metazoa; Annelida; Polychaeta; Phyllodocida; Pisionidae. The record is from RNAcentral.
GUAAAGUUGGCAGAUAAAUGUAGUUGGCUUAGGACCAUCCUAUAAGGUAUUCCACCUUACUUUACU